RNAcentral lists this small nucleolar RNA (106 nucleotides) under Macleaya cordata. The record is from RNAcentral. Lineage: Eukaryota; Viridiplantae; Streptophyta; Magnoliopsida; Ranunculales; Papaveraceae.
UUUGGUUGAGGCGAUGAUGAUAGUGUUAAUUAUCCCAGCUCAUUAUGAGACCUUUCAUUCUGGAAGGUCCGGGAAAAUAUCCAUUAAACAUUAUCUGAGCACCAAA